CCCAAAUAAAAAGUCCCUACCUACCCCCCUCACCCUAAAAAAUAGUGAGGGGGGAAUAAAAUAACUAACCUGUAAAAUAAAAGUAAACUUACCAUUCGACGUCUUCUUUUUUCUCAAAUCUUCUUUUUUCAGCCCCAAAAAAGGCCAAAUAAAAAACCAUCAUAACCGUCGAAUUGAAAAUAAAAUAAAAAUCCUGAGCGCAAAAAAAAAAACCAGACGAAAAAGAAAAAACCCAAGCGCAAAAAAAUAAUCCAUCUUCACCCAUGGAGG
Pelobates cultripes (western spadefoot toad) is the source of this 270-nucleotide non-coding RNA. The record is from the annotation of a GenBank genome assembly. Lineage: Eukaryota; Metazoa; Chordata; Amphibia; Anura; Pelobatidae.